Triticum aestivum (bread wheat) is the source of this 126-nucleotide non-coding RNA. The record is from Rfam. NCBI's taxonomy places the organism in Eukaryota, Viridiplantae, Streptophyta, Magnoliopsida, Poales, Poaceae.
GUAAUACUCCCUCCGUCUGAAAAAGCUUGUCCCAACCUUGUUCCUCAAAUGGAUGUAUCGAGCACUAACUUGGUGCUAGAUACAUCCAUUUGAGGGACAAGCUUUUCGGGACGGAGGGAAUACGAU